GAUGAACGCUAGCGGCAGGCCUAACACAUGCAAGUCGAGGGGUAUAGGAAGCUUGCUUCCUUGAGACCGGCGCACGGGUGCGUAACGCGUAUGCAAUCUACCUUAUACAGGGGAAUAGCCCAGAGAAAUUUGGAUUAAUGCCCCAUAGUAUUAUAGAGUGGCCUCACUUUAUAAUUAAAGUUCCAACGGUAUAAGAUGAGCAUGCGUCCCAUUAGUUAGUUGGUAAGGUAACGGCUUACCAUGGCAACGAUAGGUAGGGGUCCUGAGAGGGAGAUCCCCCACACUGGUACUGAGACACGGACCAGACUCCUACGGGAGGCAGCAGUGAGGAAUAUUGGACAAUGGGCGCAAGCCUGAUCCAGCCAUGCCGCGUGCAGGAAGAAGCAUCUAUGGUGUGUAAACUGCUUUUGUACGGGAAGAAACCCUCCCACGUGUGGGAGAUUGACGGUACUGUAGGAAUAAGGAUCGGCUAACUCCGUG
Molecule: ribosomal RNA, 480 nt
Filed under: uncultured bacterium
Lineage: Bacteria
Description: bacterial SSU rRNA
Rfam family: Bacterial small subunit ribosomal RNA
Source: RNAcentral